This is a long non-coding RNA of Triticum dicoccoides, 2881 nucleotides long. RefSeq lists it as uncharacterized. The transcript is spliced from 5 exons. NCBI's taxonomy places the organism in Eukaryota, Viridiplantae, Streptophyta, Magnoliopsida, Poales, Poaceae. The record is from RefSeq and is a predicted model, not a curated record.
GUCAAUCUGAGCCAUCGCUAAACACAAAAAAAAUGGACAGCGUUCUCGAACCCUGCCGCCGCCACGGACUGCACGGACGGUUCCGGCUAGCCGGCGAUGGAAGAUGUUGAGCUUGAGUUCUUGCUGCACGCAGUCGACCGUUGCAGGUUUCCCCUCCGGGACGAGUUAGCGGACAGCUUGGAGCAUCCAGAUCCGGUUCCUUUGGUGGUACUCCCGUGGCGUGAUGACACAAGUGCUGAGCCUGCUGACUCGAAUGCUGGUUCUGGAUGCGGACAGCAUGUUGGCGGCGCAGGCACGGGCUGGCCACUGGGCGACGGUAGACGGCGGCGGGAGGCUUCUCCGACACGUUCCGCGCAGUCCACUGACCAUGUAAAUCCGGAGGCGCCGGGCUGGACUAAAAGGUUCGCUUUGGGAAUGCACCGCCAGACAGAGCGCCGUGUCCAUCUCUAGGAUGAGUGCCUUAUAUCAGUCAAUUCUGCACCAGAGAUGACAGAGCAGGGAGCGCCAACAGCAUCCGAACAAGACGAGCUCGGCAAGAAGGACGACAGCCUCGCUGAUGUGUUCGUUGAGCACAUGCCUCCUUGUGGAUGGGAGGCCUCCUCUCUGCGAGCCCGCGGCUACACUGGUGUGCAAAAAAUGUCCCGCCGUUCCAUGGACAUGCCGAAGCACGCCAUGGCCGUCGGCUUCCUCGUCAUUGCUGUUCCACUCAAAGCAGAGCACACCGGUGUUGCCCCUGCUACCUAUUAACAUGGAAGCUAGGAAGGAGCAGACUCAGAAGAGGCCAGAUGUACUUGCAGGUUGCAUGUUGCAUAUUCUGUUACUAGGUUAGAGGUGAAUUUCUUCACUGCUGAUGUGUUUACAGACAUCAUAACAUGGUUGUUCCCGUGGUGUCCCGAGAAUUCAGAGUUUUGAGCUUGCAUGUUGCGACAGAUGUUUGUUACCAGUCUCAUGCAUUUCAAUCAAUAAAUAUUGUUGACAACAAUGAUAUGUUACCUCUGAAAGUUGUACUGCUUAAGCUAUGCAGUAGUCUUUCUCUUUGGGACCUCAAGAUUAAGCAAAGAAAUGGUAACCAAUGGGCAAGGAAAAUAUAAUAUAUGUAGUUUUUUUAACUGUUACAGUUUUAGUCUAUAGACUAUCUGACUGCUCUGUUAAAAAGCAUAAGAAAUGAGCAUCUGUUAUUUCCAAGCCAUGGUUAUUCAUGUUUGCAAGCAUUUACCUGACCCAAAGUGUUCAAAUUACCAUGGAUAUUCUUGCGGCAUUGAGCACUAGCUACUCGGCAAGUUCCAAACUUCAGUUAUAGCAUGUUCCCAGAUCAUUUGGCUACUCAAUUUCAUGGUUUUGUGGUAGUAACAAAGUGAUUAUGACCACAACCAUUCUGGUUUCAUUCUAGUAUUAUGGAAAGUUGUGAAUCUAGAUACUGAUAGAUAUAGCAAUGGUCAGGCUCUCUUUACCCCCUCACCGUCUCCAUUUUCAGCCUACGAGACCAUGAAGUGCCCUCCUGAGCUAUCUAUGGCGAGAUAAGAACGAUCCUUGCUUCUUCAUUAAAUUCCCCCCAAAAAGUUAUGAUCCUGAGUUUUCAAUUUUAUGCAGGACUUGGUGAGGCAAGAACGAUCAAAUUCUAAACUAUAAUCUUGAAAGCAGGAAAACAGCAGAUCUUUAUGAUUGCAAGUACAUCCUUGCUUCUUCAUUAAAUUCCCAAAAAACUUGCAACAUUUCUGGGCUUCUGUAACACAGUAGGUAUGUACUCCUUGCUAGUGAUCCUGUUGCCAAAUUGUAAUGUUUUUUUGGGCAAUUAAUCCGGAACAUUACCUUGCAUACACAACAUGUAUCUGAAUUCCGGUACAGAACUGUAUGUGCUUGCUUCUUCACUUACAAGCUAAAAUAACUUCCAAAUUAGUGGGUCUUCACUUUUCAGUAAUUAAGUAGUUUCAUACAUGAUUCAUGCAGUAAGUUUUGUAAUAUCCAAACUCCAUCCAGACUUGUAGGAAGGUUUUGUUGCUUCAACAUUUUGUUUUUGCCGUGUAGCUACUUCUCGGUCCAGAACCUGAGGACUCUCUUCAGCUUUCUCAUGUAGUGCAUCAACUUUAUAUGAGUAUCUCGCAGAUUGAGACUGAAAAGCUUGUAGCUCAGUUAGUUGAGACAUAAGUCAACAAGCGUUUGUAAGAAUAUGCUGUAGUCAUUUCUAGAAAACUGGCUUAAGACCUAUGAAUUACAAAUUCACUUGUACAGUAAGCACCACCAUGUGCAUGUUGUUUAUUACCUUAUUUAGGAGGAAGGUACUUACAAAGGACAGAAGUUCAAUGCAAUUUGCCACUUUUGUGGCUAUGAAGCCUGACAUCAAAGUUCGACUGCGAUUACGCCUAUGUAAGUUCAACCUCACUUAUCAUGUGCCAUCUGGUAAUUUUGCUUAAUGAGUGGCCUAAUGACAUGUUCAUUGUUUGGUUCCAUGUACUCGGUCAUGUAUGAUAUCACAUAUUAGCUGCUGGUCUGAAUGGCUACAUGGUCAGUGUAAAAAAAAAUAGAAGUCACGGUGGCAAGUAGAAAUGUGGUGUUGCUCCUAUUACAACGAUUGCCAAUGGAUUACUAUUUUUCUAUGUUUUUAAGAUAAUGUUCCUUCAAGAUUGUAGGGCGAGAUGGACUUUUGAAGCGGCAAUUAUGCUAAAGGGCAGAGAAGAGAAUGAAGGUUGAGGGUAAGGAUGGAUGGGGAGAAAUAUGCCACAUUGUCUUCUUUUGCAAGAUACUAAGAGAGAGUGAUUAAAAAGACACGAUGAUUGCUGAGGAAAAAAGUGAAAGAGAGAAUCAAUAUUCGUCGCUGUAUGAAUCGAAAGACGUUAUGUUCAACACCUAUUUCUGAAUUAGAGCUCUAUGAUCAUUUUUUUUA